CCGCCACCCUCUCUCUCUCUCUCUCUGUUUUUUUUUAACUUAUUAGUGUUUCUGCCUUACAAGUAUCAAUUCUGAUCAACAGCUUAGUUUGAUUCAAUGAUCUGAAAUGCUAUAUGAAAACCCUAAAGCAAAUAAAGCUGAACUCAGAGCCUCUCAAGUACUUGAAUAUUUUCCAAUUCGGCAUCGACCAAAGCCCCGAAAACUCAAAUCUUUUUUGCUACUCGCUAGUUCCUCCUUCCAUUGCGCACAAAUAGAAACAGAAUGUCAGCGGCAAGCGGCGGCUGCCGAAUUGAGGAGGGUCUCAAAGUGUAGAGCUCAUUGUAUUCGGUCAUUUCUACUGAUUACAGGGUUUCAGAAAUUUUUUUGGCUAAUUCAGGUACGUAUUUCAUAAAUUUAUGAAUAAUCAGGUUAUUACAGGUCUUGUUUAUUUUUUUCUUGGAAAACAGGUUUUGUGUGAUUAUUUUCAUCUCAAACAGGUAUAUUUCAUGUCAAAUCAGGUACGCAAUUCAUGUUACAGUAGGUUUCAUAUGAUUUCAGGUUUCGUAUGAUUUCAUUAAUACAAACAGAAAUUUAUAAUUCAUUCGGGAUAUUAUUAUUUGUUCAUGAUACAAACAGAAAUUUAUAAUUCUUAAUACUUACCAUGCUUGUCCCUGGAGCUAAAAUUGUUCCUGCAUACACACAUUUUGAGAUUAAGUACCUCAUCGCACGCUCUUUGAAUAUUAAUUGUUUUGGGUACAGGAACUCUCCAUUUUACUAUUCUUGGUGGAACACUAUUCCUCAAAUUGUUCCUGCUGGAUUCAUCUACUAACUGAUUUAGAUAAUAGCUUUAGAUAAUAGCUUGUACUAAGAAAUAUGAUACUCUACUUCGAUAACUCCUUGCCUUAUGCAUAACCGUUCUUCAUUUUGCAGCAUUCCUGGCUAUUAUGAGGCAUUCUGGAAGGAGAUGGAUGAUGUUAAACAAAUCUGGAAGAACAGAAAGCAAAUCUGGAAGAACAGAAAGGAACUCAAAUAGAUUAUUAAUCAUGUAUCGAUGAAUUACAUUCUUUCCUAGCAGUGUCAUAGCCAUUGUAAAUAAUUUAUGUAAACGUUUAUAAAUAAUUUAUGUAUCUCUACUAUUUUGGUGAA
RNA transcript from Asparagus officinalis (garden asparagus), 1125 nucleotides. RefSeq lists it as uncharacterized. The transcript is spliced from 4 exons. NCBI's taxonomy places the organism in Eukaryota, Viridiplantae, Streptophyta, Magnoliopsida, Asparagales, Asparagaceae. The record is from RefSeq and is a predicted model, not a curated record.